Long non-coding RNA from Callithrix jacchus (white-tufted-ear marmoset), 1181 nucleotides. RefSeq lists it as uncharacterized. Lineage: Eukaryota; Metazoa; Chordata; Mammalia; Primates; Cebidae. The record is from RefSeq and is a predicted model, not a curated record.
GGUUAGCCUCCCAGCUUUCAUAACCAACCAUCUGGGUUCUGGGCCACGUGUGGGGUGUGGAGGGGCAGGAUGCUGCAGGAGGCCGGGUAGGAGGCUGCUGUGCAGCCUGCAAUGCAGAUGGACCCGGAGCUGGCCUGUGGAGUGGAGAGGACUUGACUAGGCAGAAAGCAGCCCAGCGGGCAGAGCUGGAGGCAGCCAGAUGAAGGUCUGGAGACCAGAGAGAGUGUGGAAUGUGCCAGGAGCCCUGGGGAGCCGGUGGGCCUAGAGAUGGGCCAAUUCCUCGGAAGCAGGCAGGACUCUGAGAAGAUGCAGGGCUGAAGUCUGCUUUGCCUUCUCUGGAAAGAAGUUCUGUGAAGCCCAGAAAGCCAAAACCACCUCCUCAGUCUGCCACUCCACCGAAGGCUGGUGAAAGGAACUGGACCAUCUGUUUGGGGCUUCUAAAAGUUAUUAGGGGCCAGGUGCGGUGGCUCACACCUGUAAUCCUAGCACUUUGGGAGACCAAAGCCGGAGGAGUGCUCAAGCCCAGGAGUUUGAGACCAGCCUGUACUACAUAGUGAGACCCUGUCUCUACCAAAAAAAAAAAACCCACCAGGCAUGCUUGUGCACACCUGUAGUUCCAGCUACUCAGGAAGCUGAGAUGGGAGGAUUGCUUGAGCCCAGCCCAGGAGGUUGUUUUAGUGAGCUGUGCCACUGUACCCAGGCCUGGGAGACAGAGCAAGACCCCGUCUCCAAAACAACAACAACAACAAAAAAACAAGAACAAAAAUAAAUAAAGGUUCCUAGGCUCUGAAGAAGGUUGACUUUGGAGGCUGAGUCACAGAGCUUGACCUCUUAAUUACUGACCUUUUGUUAUAAACGAAUUUCCUUCCUUCUUCCUGGCUUAGACCAGAUGGCCCGAAGAUAGAAGACCCCUUAACUGAGAUAAAAGACCCCUUGACUAUUACAUCCUUAAUGUGGAAUGUCAAAUAUACCUUUCCCAAAAAAGAAACACUGCCCAUAACCAGUCAAUUGCUGUAACUAUGUAUGAAAAAUGAUGAGUUCUGUUUACAUCCUUGCCUAUAUAAAUGACUCUCAAAUCUCUCCACUUCAGAGCACCUUGGACCCCAUUUGUUUUUGCAGCCUAUGUCCUCCCAAGUGGCCAUCCUCAAACUUUGCACUUCAAUAAACUCAAUAUUUAAUCA